AUGAAAAAAAAUCGAGAGAAAGGAAAAACUAAAAAAAUUCUUCUUCAGUCUUCUUCCUUCUUCUCCUCUAUUCUCCCCUAUCCAUCACAAAAGAAAAAAAAUCUCUCCAUCGCGUCUCUUUUCUUCUCCGUUCCUUAUUUUUCAAGUUCUUUUCAAGAAGGAAGACUACUGCAGGUGAAGGCUUAUCAGUUCUAACGUGAUUUAGAGGAAGCGCCUUCUCAGUUAACAGGGGAAGCUAAACAAAAAACAAAAAUCGAUCUGAUUCAUUUCCAGCCCUAAAAUUCCUUCCCCAAUCUUCAUCAGCAAGUUUUGAUCAAGGUAAUAAAAAAAGAAUCUCUUCCUUCAAUUUCUGAUUUCAAAUCGAUCGACAACAACAGGUAGAAAAAAUCAAGGGUUUUGGUUUUCUCCCAUUAGUGAUGCUUCUCUUGCUGUAAUUACGAGGUGAUGGGAGACUGAAGAAUGGGUGUUCUGAUUUGAUUUUUCGUAGAACCAUGAGGUCCUAAGGAGCAAGGAGUGCAAAUCAUUUCAUCUCAUGACCAAGGAUUCAAAAGCACCAACGGGCUCGAUGCUUAAAACUAAGGUGUAGAAUAUUCGGUUGGUAAUACGCUGGAGAUUGAUGAAAAGGUCGUCUACCUGCAAACUGAAGGGGUUCUCUUCAAUAUCGGUGUCUGUCUAUUUCAUACACACCAAAUGGGUUCAAUGUUGAGGGGAUGAAGAUGGCAGUUAACAACCACAAAUCUGGGGCUAUUCUGGUUGUUCUUGGUUCGUUGUUGUGCUUAAACGUUUGUGAAGAUUUGGAGCUUCUGUUGCAACGAAAAGAAGUACGGUUGCAGGGACAUCUAAUCGUGGGUACAAUACAUGGAAUGAGUCUCCUGUGAUUUAGGAUGCAAAGCGGUGUCUCUUCAUCACCAGCCAGGUAAGUAUUUUUUUUGAAUUGUUGUGCUAUUGUUGAUCAUAAGUAUUUUGAAUUGUUGUGAGAGAUUGAAACUAAUGUCGGGUAAGCUUUUAUACUUCUUAAUUCGAGUUUUUAUUCUACUGGAGACUUUAUCUUUUGCAGGGUAUGAAAAUGAAAAACAAAUAAAAAAAAGCAUAUGGGUGGUGGGAAUGACCAGCAAGGUGAUAUUUGCUGGUCCCACAAAACAUAAAACCAAAAAAACACAUACCAAACCCUAAGAAAAAAGAAAAAACAUAACUCUUCGUUUCCUCAACUCUGUCUUUUGAUUUCGAAAAAAUUCCUCGUCUCCUUCACUGAAUCUUUAACCUUAGGUAAAUCUUUUGAUUUCAACAACCUAGCCCUAAUCUUUAACCUUGCGUCAAUCUCAAGUAGUUGUUUCGAGGAGGAUUUGGUUCUAUUUCGAAUCAGCAGGUAAAUUGAAUUCAAUACUGAUCUCUUUCGAUCUCAACAGGUACACAAACGAUAACUCUUAACCAGGUAUGAAUUUGAUUUUUUUUCCUAUCCUCUUUGCUUUGAUCUUGAUAUUGUAUCUCAAGAUUUUGAUGAUUUUAUUAGGGUUUAAUCUCAGGAUUUCUAUUGUAAUCUAGGGUUUGGUUUUGGGAAGAGCAACUGAGAAUGAGUCUAAAUCGGUAAGAAUGAGAGUGGGUUAAUCGGAGAUGGGGGUUUGAGAGUUCUUGGUUGAUGAUAAGAUUUUGGUUGAGAUCGAUUUGCAACCAGAUGAAGAAAUCAAUCGAGAAAACAUAUUCCAAGUUCAAAUAUUUCUCUAUUUUUUUCCCUAUCAAUUUCAAUUGAAUUUCGAUUUCAGAAUUACUUAUACAUUCAAUGGGGCAAUGGGUAGUUGCAGAGCUGUUGUUGGUGUUGCUACCAGAGAAGUUACAACAAUGGGGCAAUGGAUUCUGGGGUUGUUGUUGGUGCUGGAUGGCAAAGUGUCAUAGCUCAUGUGAACCUAGCCUGUUAUUACUUGGUCUUGGUCAGAAUUCCUGUUGUUAUGAUCCUCGGUUACCUUAUCAACAAAAGCUAAAUCCAGAGAUUGUCCAGACUUCAAACAACUAAUGAUAUGCUUCCAAUCCAGAGAACAAUCCUACAAUCCAGAAACCAUAAACUUGCCAGAAGCUUAAGGCUUUUCAUUAUGUACCUCUCCAUGUUCUAGUUCUCUAUGUUUAAUUCAUCGUCGUUAUCCUUUAUUUUUAAAAAAAAAUUUUACUGUUGGUAAUGGGUUCUUUUACAGAUUUUGGAACAAUAAUUACGUAAACCCUAAUUUAUGUUCUACAAUCACAACAACCCUUUACGUAAACCCUAAUUUAUGUUCCAUAUGCAAUUGAGAUGAACAAAACUGGAUCAAGUAGAAAUUAAUUAGACUUGAUCAAGGUUGAAGGAUGAACUUUGUGGCGCUAUCAAACUUGAAAUCUAGAUGCAUUCUUAGGGAUUACAUGUAUUCAAGGUACGAUGUUUCGCCACACCAAAAUGGUGCUUGGCUUAUUACAGGGAGAAUUUCGCUUAUGAGCACUGGGAUGAUAUCCUCGACAUCCAUAAUCAAUAUUGAGGUGGCUUUAUCAAUAGGUGAUGGACUGAGGCCUGGAUCAAUUUAUGAUGCUAAUGACAUCGCUCAAUUUGCUGAGUUUUUGACACAAAAAGAGUUAACACGUCGAGCGUGGGAGAAGGACGUACAGGUAUUUUUAGAGAAAUAAGCUCUUGCGGCAAAAUUGGCUCGAAAAGUGGUGUUUUACACCCCAGGAUAAAGUACUAAAGGCACCCAGGAAACACCCCGGAGGAGUGUUAAAAGCGCCCCAAAAAUGUGCUGGAGAAACCCCAGAAAAAUUACUAUUCACGCCCAAAAAAAUUACUAUUUGCACCCCAUAAGGCAAGUGCUAAAGGGACACCCGUAGAGGAUUAGGGGGAGGGCAUCUUCUUCCCAAAAAUUCAAA
Molecule: RNA transcript, 2880 nt
Organism: Papaver somniferum (opium poppy)
Lineage: Eukaryota; Viridiplantae; Streptophyta; Magnoliopsida; Ranunculales; Papaveraceae
Exons: 10
Source: RefSeq, a predicted model, not a curated record